CAGGGGCGGGCCCCAUUAAAUUCAAUGAUAAAACUUACGCACAUAACCAGGGGGCGCAGCUCGGCGCCCAGGUUCCCAGGGCGCUGGGGGCAGGCCGCAGGCUGGCAGGCAGGGACGGGCGGCCGGGCGCAAGGAGAAGAAGACAGCCAGAGCUAGAUCCAGUGAACUAAGGUUUGAACUAUGAAAAGGAAGAGGGGUGGCAGUGCCGCUACUGAUUUGAGAUCGUUCUUGCAAAGAGCUGCUGCAAAAAAGAAACCUCCUGAGGCAGAGGUUGUUAGUCCACCUACUAAUGAAAAUCAAAUGCAGAUAGUGGUAUUUCAAGGACAGAGUACCAGUGGGAGUGGGAGAAACACCAUACCUCUUGAAGCAGAGAGAGAUGAGCAGCAGCAGCAGCCACCAGCUAAUCCCUCAAUAAUUAAAGAUGAUGAAUUCAUGCCUAUAGAUGAAU
This is a long non-coding RNA of Panicum virgatum (switchgrass), 448 nucleotides long. RefSeq lists it as uncharacterized. NCBI's taxonomy places the organism in Eukaryota, Viridiplantae, Streptophyta, Magnoliopsida, Poales, Poaceae. The transcript has 3 exons. The record is from RefSeq and is a predicted model, not a curated record.